Molecule: long non-coding RNA, 455 nt
Organism: Orbicella faveolata
Lineage: Eukaryota; Metazoa; Cnidaria; Anthozoa; Scleractinia; Merulinidae
Source: RefSeq, a predicted model, not a curated record
AGUGAGUGUUGUUUUCAUUUCCUUAGUAUGUUUCGGUUGGUUCUUUUUUUGUUUUUUUGGUUUUUUUUUUCGCAGAAAACCACGUGACACUUAGAUUGGCUAGUUGAAGUAGCAUUCGAUCCUUGACGAGAUAAACCAGCGUCCGGUGAAAUGACCAGGAAUUGUUCUUUGCUGUACGGGUUCUGGAGUCGCUGGAGUCAAGUGCUUGGAGACGGCUAACAUCAUGCGUGGGAAAACCACGUGACACUUAGAUUGGCUAGUUGAAGUAGCAUUCGAUCCUUGACGAGAUAAACCAGCGUCCGGUGAAAUGACCAGGAAUUGUUCUUUGCUGUACGGGUUCUGGAGUCGCUGGAGUCAAGUGCUUGCAGACGGCUAACUGCAUGCGGGGGGGUGAGAGAAUCCUAACAUUUAUUUCAUAUCUGAUUCUAAAAUCUAUCAGUUUUGCUAAGACUUGC